Molecule: ribosomal RNA, 899 nt
Filed under: uncultured archaeon
Lineage: Archaea
Description: bacterial SSU rRNA
Rfam family: Archaeal small subunit ribosomal RNA
Source: RNAcentral
CUCGGGUUGAUCUGGCCGGACCCGACUCUUAUCGGAUUGAGAUUUAGCCAUGCGAGUCGAACGUCCCCCUGUUGCGGGGGGCGUGGCGUACGGCUCAGUAACACGUAGUCAACCUGCCCUGGAGACAAGGACAACCCCGGGAAACUGGGAUUAAUCCUUGAUAGGUCAUCUCAUCUGGAAGGAGAGAUGGCUUAAAGGGGUACGCGGGCUUCUUCCGCGAAUCUGCUCCAGGAUGGGACUGCGUCCGAUCAGGCUGUUGGCGGGGUAAUGGCCCACCAAACCUGUAACCGGUACGGGCCUUGAGAGAGGUGGCCCGGAGAUGGACACUGAGAGAAGGGUCCAGGUCCUACGGGGCGCAGCAGGCGCGAAACCUUCGCAAUGCGCGAAAGCGUGACGAGGUUAAUCCGAGUGACUCCCGCUGAGGGGGUCUUUUGUCAGCUGUAAAUAGGCAGGCGAAUAAGGGGAGGGCAAGCCUGGUGUCAGCCGCCGCGGUAAUACCAGCUCCUCGAGUGGUCGGGGCGAUUAUUGGGCCUAAAGCAUCCGUAGCCGGUUCCGUAGGUCCUCUGUUAAAUCCAACCGCUUAACGGUUGACCUGCAGAGGAUACCGCGGGACUAGGAGGCGGGAGAGGCGGACGGUACUCCGCGUGUAGGGGUAAAAUCCUUUGAUCCGCGGAAGACCACCAGUGGCGAAGGCGGUCCGCCAGAACGCGCUCGACGGUGAGGGAUGAAAGCUGGGGGAGCGAACCGGAUUAGAUACCCGGGUAGUCCCAGCCGUAAACGAUGCUAGCUAGAUGAUUCAUUCGCAAGUCGCGAAUGAAGUGUCGCAGGGAAGCCGUUAAGCUAGCCGCCUGGGGAGUACGGUCGCAAGACUGGAACUUUAAGGAAUUGGCGGGGGAGCC